CAUAUGCUUGUCUCAAAGAUUAAGCCAUGCAUGUCUAAGUUCACACUGUCUCACGGUGAAACCGCGAAUGGCUCAUUAAAUCAGUCGAGGUUCCUUAGAUGACACGAUCCUACUUGGAUAACUGUGGCAAUUCUAGAGCUAAUACAUGCCUAUGAAGCUCCGACCCUCGUGGAAAGAGCGCUUUUAUUAGUUCAAAACCAAUCGCCGGUCGUCUUCGGGCGGCCGGUGUCCCCAUUGGUGACUCUGGAUAACUUUGUGCUGAUCGCAUGGCCUUCGCGCCGGCGACGCAUCUUUCAAAUGUCUGCCCUAUCAAAUGUCGAUGGUACGUGAUAUGCCUACCAUGUUUGUAACGGGUAACGGGGAAUCAGGGUUCGAUUCCGGAGAGGGAGCAUGAGAAACGGCUACCACAUCCAAGGAAGGCAGCAGGCGCGCAACUUACCCACUCCCGGCACGGGGAGGUAGUGACGAAAAAUAACAAUACGGGACUCUCUACGAGGCUCCGUAAUUGGAAUGAGUACACUUUAAACCCUUUAACGAGUAUCUAUUGGAGGGCAAGUCUGGUGCCAGCAGCCGCGGUAAUUCCAGCUCCAAUAGCGUAUAUUAAAGUUGUUGCAGUUAAAAAGCUCGUAGUUGGAUCUCAGGUGCAGGCGGACGGUCCGGCUCGCGCCGGUUCACUGUCCGUAUUUCCUGCCCUACUGGUCUGCCGGCUCUCUCCCGUGGGUGCUCUUCGCUGAGCGUCCCGGGUGGCCGGCGCGUUUACUUUGAAAAAAUUAGAGUGUUCAAAGCAGGCCUCGGCUGCCUGAAUAAUGGUGCAUGGAAUAAUGGAAUAGGACCUCGGUUCUAUUUUGUUGGUUUUCGGAACUGGAGGUAAUGAUUAAAAGGGACAAACGGGGGCAUUCGUAUUGCGGCGUUAGAGGUGAAAUUCUUGGAUCGCCGCAAGACGAGCUACUGCGAAAGCAUUUGUCAAGAAUGUUUUCAUUAAUCAAGAACGAAAG
Molecule: ribosomal RNA, 995 nt
Filed under: Roxaniella pittmani
Lineage: Eukaryota; Metazoa; Mollusca; Gastropoda; Cephalaspidea; Haminoeidae
Also listed under: 1 other name
Description: SSU rRNA
Rfam family: Eukaryotic small subunit ribosomal RNA
Source: RNAcentral